This 497-nucleotide ribosomal RNA is filed under the name uncultured bacterium. Its description in RNAcentral is "partial 16S ribosomal RNA". It matches the Rfam family "Bacterial small subunit ribosomal RNA", at positions 28 to 507 of the family's 1533-position model. The record is from RNAcentral.
GAUGAACGCUGGCGGCGUGCCUAAUACAUGCAAGUCGAGCGAACAGACGAGGAGCUUGCUUUUCUGACGUUAGCGGCGGACGGGUGAGUAACACGUGGAUAACCUACCUAUAAGACUGGGAUAACUUCGGGAAACCGGAGCUAAUACCGGAUAAUAUAUUGAACCGCAUGGUUCAAUAGUGAAAGACGGUUUUGCUGUCACUUAUAGAUGGAUCCGCGCUGCAUUAGCUAGUUGGUAAGGUAACGGCUUACCAAGGCAACGAUGCAUAGCCGACCUGAGAGGGUGAUCGGCCACACUGGAACUGAGACACGGUCCAGACUCCUACGGGAGGCAGCAGUAGGGAAUCUUCCGCAAUGGGCGAAAGCCUGACGGAGCAACGCCGCGUGAGUGAUGAAGGUCUUCGGAUCGUAAAACUCUGUUAUUAGGGAAGAACAAAUGUGUAAGUAACUGUGCACAUCUUGACGGUACCUAAUCAGAAAGCCACGGCUAACUACGUG